CCGCUGUGUUGACACGCUCUGCACCUUGCUCCUGCCCUCGCCUUUCACUCUUCUUAUCCCCCCGAUAUCCCGAUCAUUCCUGACAGCUCCUGAGUGCCUGGAUUUCAUCAUCCAGCCCUGCAGGAUGCUCCCAUUUGUCCUGAGGAAGGCUGUCCCAGAUGGAGAGGAGGAGAUGGAGGUGGAUACAGAGAUUGAUAGAGUGGAGGACAUGGAGACGGAGGGAGAAGGCACUGGAGAGAAGGAGAUGGAGGUGGAGGUGGAAGAGGAGAUGGAAUUGGAUAUGGAAGAGUCCAUUGAGGACAUGGACAUUGAUUGAAAAGGGACAGGCAGCAUUUUGCAAAGUUGUGCUUUCCACUUGCUCCAGGUUCCCAGGGCUGGAGGUCCCUGGCACAGCCUCCCCAGGAGUGGGGGUCCCUGUGCACAGAGCGGUCCCACUGACAGAGCAUGGAUCCAGGGUCUGUGGAGGCACCAGUUUCUUGCCUGUGGAAUGUUCUACCUCCCCCAAGAGGAAAGUGGCAGCUGGAGGAAGAGCUUGCCAGGCUGCUCUCGAUCCUUUAGCAGCAGCCCUGGCUGAGUGGAGAAGUCCCAGUCGAGCGCAAAUGUGCCAAGGGAACAGCCGUGCACAGGAAGGCU
This is a long non-coding RNA of Passer domesticus (house sparrow), 633 nucleotides long. RefSeq lists it as uncharacterized. Lineage: Eukaryota; Metazoa; Chordata; Aves; Passeriformes; Passeridae. The record is from RefSeq and is a predicted model, not a curated record. The transcript is spliced from 4 exons.